UGCAAUAUCUCAAUUCUCAACUUGCACCACUAGCAAUCCUGAUGAACCCUAACUGGGAAACAUUCUCCAAGUGCAAUCCAUUCAAAUCAAAUAAUGGAUCAAUUAACAUCCUGCAUUGUUGAAUAUGAUCAUAAUCCAUCAUUACAAAUAUGAAACCAGUGAUUCAUAAUCACCACACACACAUAUAGAUGGAAUUAAUGAACUUAUACAGCACUGUAUAUAUAUUAUCAACAUUACAACCUCUACUAUAUAAGUAGCUAGCUAGCACACUUCCUUAAUAAUAUAAAUACAAAUAUAAAAAGAACAUCAGGUAUUUUAAAGAGGAUUGAUGAUGUAUUACAUGAUGAUGAAGAUAGGUUUUCUCAUCCUCAUGGUAUGGUUGGUGCUGACUUCAGUAACCAGUGAUCGAGUCGACUCCGGGACACCGGAUAUCAUGCAUGUUGAUGCAAAACUGAGCAGAAAGGUAAACUCUGGUGUAAAUAAUGAUCAGAAAACUAUCAAAAAUGGUGUGGCAGCUGGGAAUUUCAAGGACAUCAAUGAUGCUGAGGGGUACUACCCCCGUGAUUCGAGCACUGGAUCACACCACAGAUAUUACGAUCCCCCGAUAGAUGGCCACUACUGAAGAUGUAAGCGACGUGAACAGGCUACCUGGAAUUAUAUAUGAACCUCCUCAAUCAUGCAACGGCUCCAUGUUCGGUGAAUUACUACUUUUGUAUGUUUCUGUUUGAUGCUGUGAUAAAUUAAGAUGCGAGAGCACAACUUAUUGUGUGUUUUUGUUAACGUGAAUUGUGAUGUUUUAUGUAUGUAAAAUUAAUAAAAUGUUUUUGUUAACGUGAA
Long non-coding RNA from Daucus carota subsp. sativus, 837 nucleotides. RefSeq lists it as uncharacterized. Lineage: Eukaryota; Viridiplantae; Streptophyta; Magnoliopsida; Apiales; Apiaceae. The record is from RefSeq and is a predicted model, not a curated record. The transcript has 2 exons.